GAGUUUUUAAGUUUAAAGCCCGAUGAAUAUUAAGGAGAGAUGCAAGAUGAUAAAUAAUAAUACCAAUUUUUAUAAUUAAAAGAGAACAUAAUAUCAAGACCAUUAAAAAAAAAUAAAAAGAAAAAAUAACCCUAACCAAAGAUUAGGGGAUAAAAUAAUUGCAUUAUUAAAACUAAUACAUUCUCACUCACAGCAACUCAAACACAUGCACUCCCACCAAAUAGCAAUUAAAAAAAGAACCCAAAAUUUUCAAAAAUAAUAAUUAUCCUAAUAAUAAAAAUAAAAUAUAAAAUAAUAUAAAAUCUGAGUCUCUCGAGAACCUAUUACUGCAAUAGUAGAGCAAUGACUGAGAAGAAGAGUGAGGAGCAAACAAAGCCAGCGGAAACAGUCACCGGGAACGCAUCUCCGGCGUCCAUGCUCGGCGACGGCGCCAGGUCGACAUCCCGUGCACUGACGACAGCUGUCAUUGAGAGAAGCGCUGCAAUGAAGAGAACCAAAGCCACAGCUCUGCAAAUGCUAACUUGCGCCAUCUCUGUCUUAGAGCUUAAGAGAGUGAGAGAUUUGGAAAUUAUCACUCGGAUUUUUGUUUUCCCCCCUCCAAAUUAUAUCUUGUUCUGGUUUUGUGAUAUGAGUAGCCCGUGAAUGACUCUCUUGGUAUUUAUAGGCUUGAAGAACCUGAUUUCUUUUGAGAUAAUAGCAAGAAGGUCCCUAAUUUCUACAAAAAUUUAAAUAAAAGCGCAUAAGUGAUAGUACUUUUACAAAGACCCUGUUGUGGUAGUUUAGGUUAAAUUGUUUAUGGUGUUCUUCAUCACGAAAAAUUUAGGUGAGACAAGUUCAACCAAGUUAAAAAAUUUUCAAAUAUUAAUUUAGCACAAGAUUAAUAAAUGUGUGAUUAUCAUAUUUUUGAAUUAGUUUUUGUUUUAAUUUUCACCCUUUUAAUAUUUUUUGUUGCAUAUUAUUUAGGAGCUACAUGGUUAAUACCAUAAUUAUCAUGUCAUAUAUAAUAUUAAAAAAACUCAAAACCAAACAGGUUAGUAAAUAGAUGAUACAUAUUUUAUACGACUUAUACUUGUGUAAUUUAGGUUAAUUCAAAUCUAUAAACGUAAUUUAUAUCAUUUUCAUAAUAAUAAGUCGUGUCAUGAAUCAUAUCAUAUUUAAUAUUAAAUUUUGUUGAAAGUUCAAUAAUAUAUUUCGGAAAAAAUUAAAAUAAAUAAGUUUAUUUGUAAGCUGAUUUCAAACAUUUAACAAUUAAAUGAUUGAUUUUACUAGUGAAUUUUUAACAAAUUCUGAGGAUAGGACUUGUAUGAAUAUGUUUGCAUGCUAUGCCUUUACUUAUGAUGUUUUAAAAAUUUAGGGACCUAGAGUUAUUACCACUAGCACCACAUAUUUUAAAAGAAAUUUGGUAGCGGCAUCAUUCAAGCGGAUCCCACAACGGCUCUCUUUACGUCUGGUCUGUUACCUUUUGACCGUCGGAUAGCUAAAAUAAUGUAAUCUAACGGCUAUGUGUUGAGGAGAGCUUCCUCUUUAGACACAAAGUAAACAAAGAUCGCAGAGACCAGAGCGACGAAACCGCAAAGAGGAACAUAGGAUGACACGUGGCGCACAAAUGUGCGUUUCAAUUCUUCAAAAGCCAUUGUGCUGUCGUUUCGUUGUUUAAAGAGAAUUUUUGACCCGGUUGCUUUAGUUGCAAACUAGCCGUUAGAUACAACGGUCACGGACGUCUUUUCUUUCCAAAUUACUUUAAAAUUUUAAAUUUAACCCCCCCCCCUUUUUUUUUACUAAAAUUUUUAUAAAUUUAACUUUAAAAACAAUAAUGUUUGUAAUUACUUUUGUAAAUUUAAUUUUUUUUGAUAAACUUUAUCAGAAAUCAUAGAGAUUCUCAAUCGUUAUCACAAACAUAAUCUUAGGAUCUUAUUGAUCUUCAAUUAUGCAAUUUUUUUAUUGAUUUUACUUUUAAAAAUGAGGAGGUUUAAAAAUUCAAAAUUUUUAGAUAACGACAUUAUGAAUAUCUUAUUUCAUUUAGGAAUAGAAGUAUGGUCUUUGAUCGAGCCUGAAUAAACUAUAAAUUUAUUGUAUGUAAAGGAAUAAAAAAAAAAUCUUUUUACAAAAAAAUAACUAGUGGGCCUUUUUUUAAAAGCGAUUAUUAAAUAAGGAUGUCUGUUUUU
This 2165-nucleotide long non-coding RNA is filed under the name Citrus sinensis (sweet orange). RNAcentral's name for it is "long non-coding RNA (CSIN_LNC000484)". Lineage: Eukaryota; Viridiplantae; Streptophyta; Magnoliopsida; Sapindales; Rutaceae. The record is from RNAcentral.